AUUAAUAGUUAUGUUCUUUAAACUUAAAAAAAUUGGCGGUAUUUAAAUCUAAUUAGGGGAAUUUGUUUAUUAAAUGAUAAUCCACAAGAUACCUUACUUUAAUUAAUUUAAUUUAUUUAUUGCCGUUAUCAGAAUAUUUUUUAAGAAAAUAAAUUUUCUAUAAUUUAUAAAAAAAUUUAUUUCAGGUCAUUAUGUAGUUUAUAUUAAAGUUUAAAUGAGUUACAAUAAAUUUUAUUUAAUAAUGAAUUUUAUAUUGAAAAUUAUAAAUGAAGGUGAACUUAAUAGUAAAAUUUUUAAAAAAAUAAUAUUUUUUUGAAUUAAGAAUUAAAU
This 330-nucleotide ribosomal RNA is filed under the name Loderus genucinctus. Its description in RNAcentral is "partial 12S ribosomal RNA". RNAcentral also lists the same sequence under 1 other name. Lineage: Eukaryota; Metazoa; Arthropoda; Insecta; Hymenoptera; Tenthredinidae. The record is from RNAcentral.